RNAcentral lists this ribosomal RNA (497 nucleotides) under uncultured bacterium. Its description in RNAcentral is "partial 16S ribosomal RNA". It matches the Rfam family "Bacterial small subunit ribosomal RNA", at positions 28 to 507 of the family's 1533-position model. The record is from RNAcentral.
GACGAACGCUGGCGGCGUGCCUAAUACAUGCAAGUAGAACGCUGAAGCGAGGAGCUUGCUCUUCUUGGAUGAGUCGCGCACGGGUGAGUAACGCGUAUGUAACCUGCCUUGUAGCGGGGGAUAACUAUUGGAAACGAUAGCUAAUACCGCAUAACAAUGGAUGACACAUGUCAUUUAUGUGAAAGGGGCAAUUGCUCCACUACAAGAUGGACCUUCGUUGUAUUAGCUAGUAGGUGAGGUAAUAGCUCACCUAGGCGAGGAUACAUAGCCGACCUGAGAGGGUGAGCGGCCACACUGGGAGGGAGACAGGGCCCAGUGGCCUACGGGAGGCAGCAGGAGGGAAUCGUGGGCAAGGGGGGCAACACUGACCGAGAAACGCCGCGGGAGUGAAGAAGGGUUUCGGGUCGGAAAGGUCGGUUGUAAGUCAAGAACGGGUGUGAGAGUGGAAAGUUCACACUGUGACGGUAGCUGACCAGAAAGGGACGGCUAACUACGUG